UCCCAGACUCCUACGGGAGGCAGCAGCGGGGAAUAUUGCACAAUGGGGGAAACCCUGAUGCAGCAACGCCGCGUGAGUGAGGAAGUAUUUCGGUAUGUAAAGCUCUAUCAGCAGGGAAUAGAAAAGAAGGUACCUGAAAAAGAAGCCCCGGCUAACUACGUGCCAGCAGCCGCGGUAAUACGUAGGGGGCAAGCGUUAUCCGGAUUUACUGGGUGUAAAGGGAGCGUAGACGGUAUGGCAAGUCUGAUGUGAAAACCCGGGGCUCAACCUCGGGACUGCAUUGGAAACUGUCGGACUAGAGUGUCGGAGAGGCAAGUGGAAUUCCUAGUGUAGCGGUGAAAUGCGUAGAUAUUAGGAGGAACACCGGUGGCGAAGGCGGCCUGCUGGACUGCGACUGACGUUGAGGCCCGAAAGCGUGGGGAGCAAACAGGAUUAGAUACCCCCGUACGA
Molecule: ribosomal RNA, 450 nt
Filed under: uncultured bacterium
Lineage: Bacteria
Description: partial 16S ribosomal RNA
Rfam family: Bacterial small subunit ribosomal RNA
Source: RNAcentral